RNAcentral lists this ribosomal RNA (253 nucleotides) under uncultured bacterium. RNAcentral describes it as "partial 16S ribosomal RNA". It matches the Rfam family "Bacterial small subunit ribosomal RNA", at positions 524 to 776 of the family's 1533-position model. The record is from RNAcentral.
UACGGGGGGAGCAAGCGUUGUUCGGAUUUACUGGGCGUAAAGGGCGCGUAGGCGGCGCAACAAGUCACUUGUGAAAUCUCCGGGCUUAACCCGGAGCGGCCAAGUGAUACUGUCGUGCUAGAGUGCGGAAGGGGCUACUGGAAUUCUCGGUGUAGCGGUGAAAUGCGUAGAUAUCGAGAGGAACACCUGCGGCGAAGGCGGGUAGCUGGGCCGACACUGACGCUGAGGCGCGAAGGCGUGGGGAGCGAACGGG